GUCUCAAUAGCUCAGUUGGGAGAGCGUCAGACUGAAGAUCUGAAGGUCCAGUGCUCAAGCCACUGUUGGGACA
RNAcentral lists this transfer RNA (73 nucleotides) under Puccinia triticina 1-1 BBBD Race 1. Its description in RNAcentral is "tRNA-Phe (GAA) (tRNA-Phe-GAA-3-1)". It matches the Rfam family "tRNA". Rfam says of the family: Transfer RNA (tRNA) molecules are approximately 80 nucleotides in length. The record is from RNAcentral. Lineage: Eukaryota; Fungi; Basidiomycota; Pucciniomycetes; Pucciniales; Pucciniaceae.